Molecule: ribosomal RNA, 428 nt
Filed under: Pseudomonadota bacterium
Lineage: Bacteria; Pseudomonadati; Pseudomonadota
Description: Proteobacteria bacterium partial 16S ribosomal RNA
Rfam family: Bacterial small subunit ribosomal RNA
Source: RNAcentral
UGGGGAAUAUUGGACAAUGGGCGAAAGCCUGAUCCAGCCAUGCCGCGUGUGUGAAGAAGGUCUUCGGAUUGUAAAGCACUUUAAGUUGGGAGGAAGGGCAGUAAGCGAAUACCUUGCUGUUUUACGUUACCGACAGAAUAAGCACCGGCUAACUCUGUGCCAGCAGCCGCGGUAAUACAGAGGGUGCAAGCGUUAAUCGGAAUUACUGGGCGUAAAGCGCGCGUAGGUGGUUCGUUAAGUUGAAUGUGAAAGCCCCGGGCUCAACCUGGGAACUGCAUCCAAAACUGGCGAGCUAGAGUAGGGCAGAGGGUGGUGGAAUUUCCUGUGUAGCGGUGAAAUGCGUAGAUAUAGGAAGGAACACCAGUGGCGAAGGCGACCACCUGGGCUCAUACUGACACUGAGGUGCGAAAGCGUGGGGAGCAAACAGG